CCGUCCGCCCUUCGGAAUGGCUUCGAGGCCGGGUGGCCCUGGCGGCUACUCUGGCCUGGUGCGCCUUCCGCCCUCCGUGGACGGACAACGCAUAGCCGACAGCCGUCGCACCCCAGGGAGCAGUUCCAUG
This 130-nucleotide small RNA is filed under the name Actinacidiphila cocklensis. Its description in RNAcentral is "Streptomyces cocklensis Streptomyces-metH". It matches the Rfam family "Streptomyces-metH RNA". The record is from RNAcentral. Lineage: Bacteria; Bacillati; Actinomycetota; Actinomycetes; Kitasatosporales; Streptomycetaceae.